AUACCCUAUUAUUUUUAUCGUAAAAUGUAUUAAGCUUGAGUAUUAAUAGUUAUGAUCUUUAAACUUAAAGAAUUUGGCGGUAUUAUAGUCUAUUUAGAGGAAUCUGUUAUGUAAUCGAUAGUCCACGUUGAACCUUACUUAUAUAAUUUUUUGUAUACCGCUGUUUAUGAAAAUACUUUUAGGUUAUUUUCUAAAUAUUUAAUUUUCUAAAAUUUCAAGUCAAGGUGCAGAAAUAUAUAAGUUGAAUAAUGGAUUACAAUAAAUUUUAUUUAUUAUGGAUUAUUAUUGCAAUAUAAUUUUGAAGGUGGAUUUAAUUGUAAUUUUAUAAAGAUUAUUAAAAUGAUUUUUAGCUCUAUAAUAUGUACACAUCGCCC
RNAcentral lists this ribosomal RNA (374 nucleotides) under Odontomantis pulchra. RNAcentral's name for it is "partial 12S ribosomal RNA". The record is from RNAcentral. Lineage: Eukaryota; Metazoa; Arthropoda; Insecta; Mantodea; Hymenopodidae.